RNAcentral lists this long non-coding RNA (551 nucleotides) under Cicer arietinum (chickpea). RNAcentral describes it as "long non-coding RNA (CARI_LNC000578)". The record is from RNAcentral. Lineage: Eukaryota; Viridiplantae; Streptophyta; Magnoliopsida; Fabales; Fabaceae.
UUUGUCAAAUUUAUAUGAAUGAAGUUGGUAGUUAGAGAUUAUUACAAGGACUUUUCUUCUGUAGCUCUGUUGAGUAUUAAUUAUGGUUGUAUGUCACAGUUGAUCUUUAGUGUGAUAUAGGAGUAGUAGUGCUUAAUUGUUGUGGUUAACUAAUGUUUAAGAAAGUGUAAUUUGCUUUCUCAUUGCUAGAAGAUAACUAGAUAGGAAAAAAAAGUAACUGUAAACUUGGUUAUUAAUAUCUUUCAAUACAGAUUUGUUUGGAACUUCCCUCCAACAACCAUAGCCAUGAUAAAUGCAAUGACUGUAGGCUUCGGAUUUGCAUUUUUUUGGGUCUGAUUUGGUUGGAACUCAUAAAUAGAACAUUCUCUUUACAUACUCAUGACUUUUGAAUUCCUGCGUUUAUUAGUUUCCUAUACAUAUUUAAAAAGUUCCAGUUUGAAAUUCUCAUUCUUUAUGCUUAUUUUAUAAUUUGUAUUCCCUUAAAUUAUUUUUGUUUAAUACUAUCCUCUUAUCUUUAUUUUGAUUUUAGAUUAUACCUUAUUUUAUUUUAC